GUCAGUGUGGCAUAGUGGUUUGAGUGUGGGACAAUGAUUUGGAAGAUCAGGGUUCAAUUCCCAUCUCAGCCA
Non-coding RNA from Phrynosoma platyrhinos (Desert horned lizard), 72 nucleotides. The record is from the annotation of a GenBank genome assembly. Lineage: Eukaryota; Metazoa; Chordata; Lepidosauria; Squamata; Phrynosomatidae.